CCGCAACAAUCAUCUUUUCCGGAUCGGUCGAAUUGGCCUUGAUGAGAAUAGCAGCCGCCGCCUUGAUCGUCUGAUAGCCAACGAUGGAGCCCAGUCUCGGANUCAUUGAACUUGCCCUGAUAGGCUUUCAGGAACGCAUCGUGCUCCGGUGUCUUGAUGCUGUACCAAGGAUAACCGGUGACGAUCCAGCCCGAUGGCGUUUCCUCCUUCAGCGGGUCGAGAUAUUCCGGCUCGCCGGUGAGGAAGCUUACCACCGCACGAUCC
RNAcentral lists this unclassified non-coding RNA (264 nucleotides) under Hevea brasiliensis (rubber tree). Lineage: Eukaryota; Viridiplantae; Streptophyta; Magnoliopsida; Malpighiales; Euphorbiaceae. The record is from RNAcentral.